GACGAACGCUGGCGGCGUGCCUAAUACAUGCAAGUCGAACGAACCGCGACUAGGUGCUUGCACUUGGUCAAGGUGAGUGGCGAACGGGUGAGUAACACGUGGGUAACCUACCUCAUAGUGGGGGAUAACAGUCGGAAACGACUGCUAAUACCGCAUAGGACAUAGGAUCACAUGAUCCAGUGAGGAAAGGUGGCGCAAGCUAUCGCUAAGAGAUGGACCCGCGGUGCAUUAGCUAGUUGGUAGGGUAAAGGCCUACCAAGGCGAUGAUGCAUAGCCGACCUGAGAGGGUGAUCGGCCACAUUGGGACUGAGACACGGCCCAAACUCCUACGGGAGGCAGCAGUAGGGAAUCUUCCGCAAUGGACGCAAGUCUGACGGAGCAACGCCGCGUGAGUGAAGAAGGUCUUCGGAUCGUAAAGCUCUGUUGUUAGAGAAGAACAGCGCAUAGAGUAACUGUUAUGCGUGUGACGGUAUCUAACCAGAAAGCCACGGCGAACUACGU
Molecule: ribosomal RNA, 501 nt
Filed under: uncultured bacterium
Lineage: Bacteria
Description: partial 16S ribosomal RNA
Rfam family: Bacterial small subunit ribosomal RNA
Source: RNAcentral